RNAcentral lists this non-coding RNA (30 nucleotides) under Haloplanus vescus. The record is from RNAcentral. Lineage: Archaea; Methanobacteriati; Methanobacteriota; Halobacteria; Halobacteriales; Haloferacaceae.
GUUUCAGACGAACUCUCGUCAGGUUGAAGC